Molecule: ribosomal RNA, 578 nt
Filed under: uncultured organism
Description: bacterial SSU rRNA
Rfam family: Bacterial small subunit ribosomal RNA
Source: RNAcentral
AGCAUCCCGCCUGGGGAUUCCGUCCGCAAGGCUUAGAGUCACCCGAAUUGACGGGGGCCCGCACGAGCAGCGGAGCGUGGGGUUCAAGUCGAGGCUACACGAAGAACCUUACCUGGGCUGGACAUGUAGGUAGUAGUGAAGCGAAAGCGGAACGACCGUUCCGGGGAGCCUACACAGGUGCUGCAUGGCUGUCGUCAGUUCGUGCCGUGAGGUGUCGGGUUAAGUCCCGUAACGAACGCAACCCUUGCCCUUAGUUACAUGUGUCUAAGGGGACUGCCCGGGACAACUGGGAGGAAGGUGGGGAUGACGUCAAGUCAGCAUGGCCUUUAUGUCCAGGGCUACACACACGCUACAAUGGCCGGUACAAUGGGUCGCCAAGCCGUGAGGCGGAGCCAAUCCCCCAAAGCCGGUCUAAGUUCGGAUUGUGGGCUGCAACUCGCCCAUAUGAAGCUGGAGUUGCUAGUAACCGCGCGUCAGCAAUAGUGCGGUGAAUACGUUCCCGGGCCUUGUACACACCGCCCGUCACGUCAUGGAAGCUGGCAACACGCUGAAGCCAGUGAGCUAACCCGCAAGGGAGC